AAGAAGAAUGUUGUGUUUUUGGGAGAUGGGAUGGGCAAAACAGUCAUUACGGGAUCUUUGACUGUGGGUCAACCUGGUAUUUCCACUUACAACACGGCCACUGUUGCGGUUCUUGGCGAUGGAUUCAUGGCUAGUGGUAUCACGGUCCAGAAUGCAGCAGGACCUCCUACCCACCAAGCAGUGGCGUUUAGAUCAGACAGCGACCUAUCAUAUAUUGAGAACUGUGAAUUCCU
This 233-nucleotide unclassified non-coding RNA is filed under the name Hevea brasiliensis (rubber tree). Lineage: Eukaryota; Viridiplantae; Streptophyta; Magnoliopsida; Malpighiales; Euphorbiaceae. The record is from RNAcentral.